UCUUUUUAUGUUUCUUUCCGAAGUUAAGAAGGCGUAUUACAUCGAAGAUGAGACAUAAAAAUUGGCUUGUGGUUAAGCAUGCAAAAAUUAAGGAUGUAGGUGAUAUGGAUAACUGAUUGUUAGAGAUGUUAAAUGGUUAGUAAGAGGAACUUUCAACUUCAAAGUUGAUUUCAUAUAGUUUUGGUCUUAUCGAUGAUAUUUUUGUGUUUAUUUCCCAAGCUAAGAAGGUGUACAACAUUGGAGAUGAGAGACACAAAGAUGUUAGUGGUUA
RNAcentral lists this long non-coding RNA (271 nucleotides) under Carica papaya (papaya). RNAcentral's name for it is "long non-coding RNA (CPAP_LNC008899)". The record is from RNAcentral. Lineage: Eukaryota; Viridiplantae; Streptophyta; Magnoliopsida; Brassicales; Caricaceae.